CAACAGUACAGAGUGGACAGCGGCUGGAAAUGGCGGUGUGCGGUGGUGGUGUACCUGUUGCAUUUGGGAUUUCACUGAGAGAAUAAGAAGGAAUCGACGAUGGACUGCUACGCAACUAUUGCACCAGUGAAGGAUGUCUGUGUGCCGGUUUGUGCUCAGUUUCUCAGCCAGCGGGCGUGAGAAAGUGUGCCACAGCAGUCUGUCUAGUGGUGCUCUUUGUUCUGGAAGGACGCAAGCAUUGCUGAGGAGCCAUUUGACCUGCCGCCACACUAAUAUUGUAUUUGGCAAAGCCGAAGGCCUCUGCAAGCAGCCAGUCAUUCCAAGUCUCAACCAAUCCUUCCUCUAGUCAGCCAAUUUCUAGUGUCUAUGCGGAAAGGACUUGCGCAAGAGUGUACACGGGACACUAAAAAAGCGACAAGGACAGGCGUAAACUUCCAACCGGUGUUCAUUACAAAAAGGUAUGUAUAUGUACUCUUGCACACUUAAUCAUAAUCUGUUACAAUCGUGCAAGUCAACAUGGUCAUCACAAAUAAACGAGUGCACCAAGGCCUAAGGCGGCUUCCCGCAUACAGACCCCAGAUAUUCAAAUUCUUUAACAGUCAGUGCUACAUAUAGGGAUGGCUUGCUAAUGCAGUUGCAUUCUGCAAUAGCCGCUGCCUCAAUGAUGAGUCUAGUGUUUUCUUUCACACUGCUUGCUAUUAUUUCUGUUUUUAAAACAGUCGAUGACAUCUGCAUUGGGAGCAAUGGAUUCCAAGGAAACCUUCUUUCCCUUUUUGUACUUUCCGAUUAUGUUCCUGUAGUCUCAAGUUUAGGGAACUUCCUAUUUGUCCCACGUAACGCUGCCCGCAGGAAAGAGGUAUGCUAUACACUAUUCCUCUUGAGCAUUUGAUGAAACCCUUUCUGUGCACAAUGUUGCAUGAUUUUGAUUGUCUGCUGACAGGGCUGGUUUUGGCACAUAACUCAGCUUGCGGGGCGUGGAAGAAAUGACCAAGACUGCAGUCCUUUGGCUUAUUUUCUUUAUUUACACCUAUGUGAUACUGUUCGCAGGAAUCUAGCAGUCAUCCCAUACAUUCACGCUAUCUUGCAUAAACUAAAGAAAAUAGGCCAAAGGGCGGGAGUAUAGGUCGUUUUUCCCGCACCCAACAAGUUAUCUCAGUUAUGUGCCAAAACCAGCCCUGUCAGCAGGCAAUCAAUUUCAUGCAACAUUGCUCACAGAAAAGCUUUCGUGAAAUGCUCGGGGGGAGUAGUGAAUAGCACACCUCUUUUCUGUGGGCAGCGUUACGUGGGGCAAAUGGGAAGGUGCCUAAAUAUGAGACUACAGGAACAUAAUACAAAAGUACAAAAGGGAGAGAGGGUUUCCUUUGAAUCCACAACUCCCAAUGCAAAUGUCAUGCACUCUGAAAAAACAGAAAUAAUAGCAAGCAACGCACAAGAAAGCACUAGGCCCAUCAUUGAGGGGGCAGAUAUCGCAUAAGUCAACUGCGUUAGCAAACUAUCCCUAGCGUUGACAUUAAAGAAGUUGCAUACCUGGGGUCUGUAUGUGGGAGGCCGCCUUAGGCCUUGGGGCGGCUUUAGUGUGCUCUUGUAACUGAUUAUGAUCAAGUGCACAAGAGUAUAUAUACAUGCCUUUUCGUAAUAAACACCAAUUGGAAGUUCGCACCUGUUCCUGUCACUUUUUUAGUGUCCCGCGUUCACUCUUGCGCUGGUCACUUCAGCAUGGAAUACCAACUAGCCCAGUCUCACACCCUGCUUUUUUCAGUAAAGCAGAAUAAACACAGGUUUUUUCAGA
Long non-coding RNA from Dermacentor andersoni, 1789 nucleotides. RefSeq lists it as uncharacterized. NCBI's taxonomy places the organism in Eukaryota, Metazoa, Arthropoda, Arachnida, Ixodida, Ixodidae. The record is from RefSeq and is a predicted model, not a curated record.